AUUGAACGCUGGCGGCAUGCCUUACACAUGCAAGUCGAACGGCAGCACGGGUGCUUGCACCUGGUGGCGAGUGGCGAACGGGUGAGUAAUACAUCGGAACAUGUCCUGUAGUGGGGGAUAGCCCGGCGAAAGCCGGAUUAAUACCGCAUACGAUCUACGGAUGAAAGCGGGGGACCUUCGGGCCUCGCGCUAUAGGGUUGGCCGAUGGCUGAUUAGCUAGUUGGUGGGGUAAAGGCCUACCAAGGCGACGAUCAGUAGCUGGUCUGAGAGGACGACCAGCCACACGGGGACUGAGAAACGGCCCAGACUCCUACGGGAGGCAGCAGUGGGGAAUGUUGGACAAUGGGCGAAAGCCUGAUCAAGCAAUGCCGCGUGUGUGAAGAAGGCCUUCGGGUUGUAAAGAACUUUUGUCCGGAAAGAAAUCCUUGGCCCUAAUACGGUCGGGGGAUGACGGUACCGGAAGAAUAAGCACCGGCUAACUACGUG
Molecule: ribosomal RNA, 486 nt
Filed under: uncultured bacterium
Lineage: Bacteria
Description: partial 16S ribosomal RNA
Rfam family: Bacterial small subunit ribosomal RNA
Source: RNAcentral